This 70-nucleotide transfer RNA is filed under the name Notolepis coatsorum (Antarctic jonasfish). RNAcentral's name for it is "tRNA-Pro". It matches the Rfam family "tRNA". From Rfam's summary of the family: Transfer RNA (tRNA) molecules are approximately 80 nucleotides in length. Their secondary structure includes four short double-helical elements and three loops (D, anti-codon, and T loops). The record is from RNAcentral. Lineage: Eukaryota; Metazoa; Chordata; Actinopteri; Aulopiformes; Paralepididae.
CAGGGGGUAGUUUAAUUAAGAAUUUUAGCUUUGGGAGCUGAAGGUGGGAGUUAAAAUCUCUUCUCUCUGA